GCAAUGCCUCGAUAGGAACAUUCCCUUUAAUGCUAUUUGGACUUAAGCAAUCCCUGUCCAGGAAAAGAGCAGGUUUAUCUGCUUGCUUUUGAGGCUGAGCUCAGUCUAGGCAUUAGGACUUGGAGGGGAGAAAGGUUCCUAUGUCUCACAAGGGUGAAUUUUCCUUCUCUUGCCUGGGCUCUGACUGCACUUUAGAAGCCACGCGGAUGCUCACAAGUUCGUGAUGUCACUGAAGUGAGCUCUUUUCCACUGGGAAGAAGAAAUUUCACUGCAAUUCAGACAUGUUCCUAACAUAGCGAUCUACAGCAAAUUCAGAGGUGCCAAGCCCUGCCAGCCCAAGAUUUCAACCAAAACUAACUAUUCCUCCGUCCUCCCAAAAAUGCAGAGGCUUGCUGCUGGGGAUUAAUGCACCAAGCCGGGAGCUGAGCUGAUCAGGUCACCUGAAGGAAUGUAAGUGUACCACCUGCAGCAGAGAGCAGGCAGCUUUGUGUGUACCUGUGAAUGGCUUUCUGAGGAACGCAAGGUAUCAACAACAUCUGGA
RNAcentral lists this long non-coding RNA (541 nucleotides) under Anas platyrhynchos platyrhynchos (common mallard). RNAcentral's name for it is "lncRNA (ENSAPLG00000023123.1)". Lineage: Eukaryota; Metazoa; Chordata; Aves; Anseriformes; Anatidae. The record is from RNAcentral.